Molecule: transfer RNA, 71 nt
Filed under: Loxodonta africana (African savanna elephant)
Lineage: Eukaryota; Metazoa; Chordata; Mammalia; Proboscidea; Elephantidae
Rfam family: tRNA
About the family: Transfer RNA (tRNA) molecules are approximately 80 nucleotides in length. Their secondary structure includes four short double-helical elements and three loops (D, anti-codon, and T loops). Further hydrogen bonds mediate the characteristic L-shaped molecular structure. tRNAs have two regions of fundamental functional importance: the anti-codon, which is responsible for specific mRNA codon recognition, and the 3' end, to which the tRNAs corresponding amino acid is attached (by aminoacyl-tRNA synthetases). tRNAs cope with the degeneracy of the genetic code in two manners: having more than one tRNA (with a specific anti-codon) for a particular amino acid; and 'wobble' base-pairing, i.e. permitting non-standard base-pairing at the 3rd anti-codon position.
Source: Rfam by way of RNAcentral
GGAGUGGUGGCUCAGUGGUAGAAUUCUCACCUUCCAUGCGGGAGACCUGGGUUCGAUUCCCGGCUAAUGCA